GGAGAGAUGUCCGAGUGGCUGAAGGAGCACGCCUGGAAAGCGUGUGUACGGGAAACUGUAUCUGGGGUUCAAAUCCCCAUCUCUCCGCCA
Molecule: transfer RNA, 90 nt
Filed under: Tissierellia bacterium
Lineage: Bacteria; Bacillati; Bacillota; Tissierellia
Description: tRNA-Ser
Rfam family: tRNA
About the family: Transfer RNA (tRNA) molecules are approximately 80 nucleotides in length. Their secondary structure includes four short double-helical elements and three loops (D, anti-codon, and T loops). Further hydrogen bonds mediate the characteristic L-shaped molecular structure. tRNAs have two regions of fundamental functional importance: the anti-codon, which is responsible for specific mRNA codon recognition, and the 3' end, to which the tRNAs corresponding amino acid is attached (by aminoacyl-tRNA synthetases). tRNAs cope with the degeneracy of the genetic code in two manners: having more than one tRNA (with a specific anti-codon) for a particular amino acid; and 'wobble' base-pairing, i.e. permitting non-standard base-pairing at the 3rd anti-codon position.
Source: RNAcentral